UUCCCUCAGCUCAGUUGAUAAACAAUCUGCCUGCAAUGCAGGAGACCCAGGUUCGAUUCCUGGGUGGGAAA
RNAcentral lists this transfer RNA (71 nucleotides) under Ovis aries (sheep). It matches the Rfam family "tRNA". From Rfam's summary of the family: Transfer RNA (tRNA) molecules are approximately 80 nucleotides in length. Their secondary structure includes four short double-helical elements and three loops (D, anti-codon, and T loops). The record is from Rfam by way of RNAcentral. Lineage: Eukaryota; Metazoa; Chordata; Mammalia; Artiodactyla; Bovidae.